RNAcentral lists this ribosomal RNA (219 nucleotides) under Bacillus cereus. RNAcentral's name for it is "partial 16S ribosomal RNA". It matches the Rfam family "Bacterial small subunit ribosomal RNA", at positions 553 to 772 of the family's 1533-position model. Lineage: Bacteria; Bacillati; Bacillota; Bacilli; Caryophanales; Bacillaceae. The record is from RNAcentral.
AUUGGGCGUAAGCGCGCGCAGGUGGUUUCUUAAGUCUGAUGUGAAAGCCCACGGCUCAACCGUGGAGGGUCAUUGGAAACUGGGAGACUUGAGUGCACAAGAGGAAAGUGGAAUUCCAUGUGUAGCGGUGAAAUGCGUAAAGAUAUGGAGGAACCCCCGUGGCGAACGCUAUUUUCUGGUCUGUAACUGACACUGAGGCGCGAAAGCGUGGGGAACAAA